This 766-nucleotide ribosomal RNA is filed under the name uncultured bacterium. RNAcentral describes it as "bacterial SSU rRNA". It matches the Rfam family "Bacterial small subunit ribosomal RNA", at positions 28 to 780 of the family's 1533-position model. The record is from RNAcentral.
AUUGAACGCUGGCGGAAUGCUUUACACAUGCAAGUCGAACGGCAGCACGGGUGCUUGCACCUGGUGGCGAGUGGCGAACGGGUGAGUAACAUAUCGGAACGUACCCAGUAAUGGGGGAUAACUAGUCGAAAGAUUAGCUAAUACCGCAUACGCCCUGAGGGGGAAAGCGGGGGAUCGUAAGACCUCGCGUUAUUGGAGCGGCCGAUAUCUGAUUAGCUAGUUGGUGGGGUAAAGGCCUACCAAGGCGACGAUCAGUAGCUGGUCUGAGAGGACGACCAGCCACACUGGAACUGAGACACGGUCCAGACUCCUACGGGAGGCAGCAGUGGGGAAUUUUGGACAAUGGGCGCAAGCCUGAUCCAGCCAUUCCGCGUGAGUGAAGAAGGCCUCGGGUUGUAAAGCUCUUUCGCAAGGGAAGAAAACGAUACGAGCGAAUAACUCGUGUUAAUGACGGUACCUUGAUAAGAAGCACCGGCUAACUACGUGCCAGCAGCCGCGGUAAUACGUAGGGUGCGAGCGUUAAUCGGAAUUACUGGGCGUAAAAGCGUGCGCAGGCGGUUUUGUAAGUCAGAUGUGAAAAUCCCCGGGCUCAACCUGGGAACUGCGUUUGAAACUACAAGGCUAGAGUAUAGGAGAGGGGGGUAGAAUUCCACGGUGUAGCAGUGAAAUGCGUAGAGAAUGUGGAGGAAUACCAAUGGCGAAAGGCAGCCCCUGGCCUAAUACUGACGCUCAUGCACGAAAAGCGUGGGGAGCAAAACAAGGAUUA